GUCUUUAUGGAUCAAAAUCUUAGCUCUAGAAAAGAUUUGAUUAAGUGAAACAAAGCCCCAGCUGCUGGAGCAGAGGUUCCACUUGGGUUCCACAGACACCCACAGCCCAAAUCCCUGGAGGCCUAAGGCAAUAGCUAAUUGAGACUAUGCAUCACUAUUAAGGCAUCUUCACUAAAGGGCGCUGUGGAAACGCUGCCUGAGAUGCAGACACCUGUCAGAAGGGGGCUAAAUUUCAAACAAGGAACGUGGUGUUGCAUCACAAUAAAGUAGAUUCUAGUAUUACCUUCCUUUUUCAGAAGAGGAGACCAAUGGGGAGCAUUGGAAUGAUUUGGUUGCAAGCAUACUACACUACUUGUAAACUGCAGACACAGGCUUAAAAAAAGUGAAAAACUAACCAUGCAAUAAAGAAUGGAAUGAACCAUGAAGCUGUUUCUGUGGCCAGUCAUGUUUUUGAAGCAUAUCCCAUGCUAAUUUCUAGAACAGAAGAAACACACGUGUUCUUGUGUGUAAACCCAGUCCAUGGAAGAGACCGUCUGCUUGUCCCUCCUGAUCUCUGGGCCCAGACAACCAGUAGUCACCAUUCCAAGUGAGGGGUGGCUGCAACUCUACAGCCCCGUUCGUCUCUCCUCACUGUCAAAGCUGCUGAGACCCCAGACUCGACACUUGAAAGAAACCCAUGUCUGUGAAGCACUUGUGGACCAUUCAAGAUUGUGGAAGAAUCACUCAAGAGAAGGAGAUAGGUGAUGGGAUCUAGCUUCUGAUGGUUUCUAUUUUAUUGAAUGUCUAAUAGGGCAAGAAUUUGAAAAACGAGAAUGUUUGCCAUGCAGGAGGACCUGGGAAGGAGAUAACACAUUUACAGGGAGAAAGAUUGGGAUUCAGUUGGGAGGAGUAACUGAGGAAAGGGGUCACUCAAAAUAUUUUGUAUUUUAGGUCCUUUUUCUAUUAAGGAGGAAUGGAUUAUCAAAGCCUUAACAUUAAAUUGUAUUGUGUCAGGUGAAUUGCUAUGGUUUGAAUG
Long non-coding RNA from Homo sapiens (human), 1015 nucleotides. Ensembl annotates it as IL12A antisense RNA 1. Its record names the gene IL12A-AS1. The record is from Ensembl. Lineage: Eukaryota; Metazoa; Chordata; Mammalia; Primates; Hominidae.